This 1371-nucleotide long non-coding RNA is filed under the name Piliocolobus tephrosceles (Ugandan red Colobus). Its description in RNAcentral is "lncRNA (ENSPTEG00000019291.1)". The record is from RNAcentral. Lineage: Eukaryota; Metazoa; Chordata; Mammalia; Primates; Cercopithecidae.
AUGGGCUGCUCUCCUGGACCCAGCAGCGGCGGCAGGAGGCCCCGGUGUCCUCUCGGCGCCUCCUCCUCCGAGACUCUCCUCGUCGCGCCCGGGAGCCUCCUUGUCCCCGGUCCGCCCUCUCCUGGCGCUCGGGUCCUUCUGCCGCCGCCAGGGGCUCGCCGCGCCGCACUCCGGGGCUCAGGGGCCGGGCGUUCGGCGGCUCGGCGCCGGCGGACUGGCUCUGUCUGGGGCAGCUCUCUCCCGCGCGGCGAGCGGACCGAGCACGGCGCCCGGCUGGCUCGACUGGCGCGGCUCGGGGACAAGAUCUUCAGUGCGCCGAGCAGCAAGCGAGUGUGCCCAGGACUCGCCGCCUCCCGCAAGGCCUCCCGCCCCCGCCCCCUUCCCUCCCCCUUCUUCCCCCUUCCCUCCCCCGCCCCCAGCCGCCGCCGCCGCCGCCUCCUCCCCGCCCCCCCGCACCCCUCCCUCCGGCCCUCUGCUCGGCUGGUUCCACUGCGCAGUGGCGCGCCCGGCUCCGGCCUCGUCACGUGGCCGUCUAGACACCCUGUCGCUUUAAAAAAAAAAAAAAAAAAAGCGAUUGUGUUUCGCAAACAACAGAUCGGGUUUCUAAAAGCUAUUUCUCCCCCCAACCCCCCGCCACCACCACCCCCUCCCGGGUCUGUAGAUGGGGUACCGACGGAGGAGGGAGAGAGGUGGGGGGCAGAGAAGCUCCCAGAAUCGAUUGAGCCCCGGCCGGAGCCAUGGAGAAAUUGGAAAAGCAGGGAGCACCGAGCGGGCUUCGCUGCGAGUUUUGGAGCUGAGCGAGCGGGUCGGUGGCCCGAUUUCGACCCUGCUGGGCUUCGCGGUGGCCAUCUCGCGCGCGCUCGCUCUAGCGCUUCAUUCAUUGGUUUUGUUUUAAAGGCCCUGGCGGCGGAUCCCUUGGCCGCGCCGGAGGGCAAGGGGAGGAGAGCGCCGUCUCGGUUUAAAAGACAUUUAUACCGGACUGGACCGAGGCCCAGGGAAGUGUGCGCUGAGGGGAACAGCCGCCGAGGGCGGGGAGGCGGCGUGAAUAUGACCUCAGCGGCGGCCGCGCGCUCCCUCCCGCCCUCUCCGCUCCGGGCUCCGGUUUCUAGGACUGCCUGGAGAAGUGUGUCUUGUGCACAGCUAUGGAAUGCAUUUGGCCGACUGACGAGCUGCGAGGGGCAGCAUCCUGGCGGGAGAAGGGGAGCGGGAGGCGGGGGCUCGCCUGCGCGCCGCCGGCAGGUUUCCUCCCGAGCCCGGAAGACCUCCGCCACCCGCCACCCUGCCUCCUGGCGCGGGAAGGUUACCCAGCGAGCAGACCUGCCCUGCCUAGGGCAUUCAUUUGCAUGCAGGGCCUGUUUCUGGGCCUCGUAG